This 465-nucleotide ribosomal RNA is filed under the name Vreelandella stevensii. RNAcentral's name for it is "partial 16S ribosomal RNA". It matches the Rfam family "Bacterial small subunit ribosomal RNA", at positions 338 to 795 of the family's 1533-position model. Lineage: Bacteria; Pseudomonadati; Pseudomonadota; Gammaproteobacteria; Oceanospirillales; Halomonadaceae. The record is from RNAcentral.
CCUACGGGGGGCUGCAGUGGGGAAUAUUGGACAAUGGGGGGAACCCUGAUCCAGCCAUGCCGCGUGUGUGAAGAAGGCCCUCGGGUUGUAAAGCACUUUCAGUGAGGAAGAACGCCUGGUGGUUAAUACCCAUCAGGAAAGACAUCACUCACAGAAGAAGCACCGGCUAACUCCGUGCCAGCAGCCGCGGUAAUACGGAGGGUGCGAGCGUUAAUCGGAAUUACUGGGCGUAAAGCGCGCGUAGGUGGCUUGAUAAGCCGGUUGUGAAAGCCCCGGGCUCAACCUGGGAACGGCAUCCGGAACUGUCAAGCUAGAGUGCAGGAGAGGAGGGUAGAAUUCCCGGUGUAGCGGUGAAAUGCGUAGAGAUCGGGAGGAAUACCAGUGGCGAAGGCGGCCCUCUGGACUGACACUGACACUGAGGUGCGAAAGCGUGGGUAGCAAACAGGAUUAGAUACCCCAGUAGUC